UGGGGAAUAUUGGACAAUGGGGGAAACCCUGAUCCAGCAAUGCCGCGUGAGUGAUGAAGGCCUUAGGGUUGUAAAGCUCUUUUACCAGGGAUGAUAAUGACAGUACCUGGAGAAUAAGCUCCGGCUAACUCCGUGCCAGCAGCCGCGGUAAUACGGAGGGAGCUAGCGUUGUUCGGAAUUACUGGGCGUAAAGCGCACGUAGGCGGUUACUCAAGUCAGAGGUGAAAGCCCGGGGCUCAACCCCGGAACUGCCUUUGAAACUAGGUAACUAGAAUCCUGGAGAGGUGAGUGGAAUUCCGAGUGUAGAGGUGAAAUUCGUAGAUAUUCGGAAGAACACCAGUGGCGAAGGCGGCUCACUGGACAGGUAUUGACGCUGAGGUGCGAAAGCGUGGGGAGCAAACAGG
This 404-nucleotide ribosomal RNA is filed under the name Microvirga ossetica. RNAcentral describes it as "partial 16S ribosomal RNA". It matches the Rfam family "Bacterial small subunit ribosomal RNA", at positions 355 to 776 of the family's 1533-position model. RNAcentral also lists the same sequence under 1 other name. The record is from RNAcentral. Lineage: Bacteria; Pseudomonadati; Pseudomonadota; Alphaproteobacteria; Hyphomicrobiales; Methylobacteriaceae.